RNAcentral lists this long non-coding RNA (1802 nucleotides) under Brachypodium distachyon (stiff brome). RNAcentral's name for it is "long non-coding RNA (BDIS_LNC006017)". The record is from RNAcentral. Lineage: Eukaryota; Viridiplantae; Streptophyta; Magnoliopsida; Poales; Poaceae.
GCGAGCAUGGCAGACGAAGGGCUGCUGAUUGGCUUGUCUCGAUUGGCGACCCACACGACGGUGAGUGGUCCGGGGAUGCUGUGGUACCAUAUGCCAAGGUAGAAACUCUUGUUGGAGCUGGUUGGGGAGAAGAAGCCAAGAGCAAAGUCCCCGCCCUUGGAGAUGAGUAUAUCAUCGUGAGUGAGUGGCUUUGCAUAUGUGAGCUGGUCAUCGGAUUUGCAGGAUGAACUCAAGAAUAGGAGGAAGAAGAAGGAAAUACAGUGCGUAGCCAUCAGGCCGUUCCUCCCUCUGCUUGUGUCUGUUAAGGGAAGAAAGUAGCACACAGAUACAGAUAUGCAUGGUCCUUUCCUGUAUGGUUCUUCAGACCGUGGUUGUGUGGUGCAGAAUUUUCUGUCCAUGUAAUCAAAGUUAGGCACUCAUCACCCUUAAGGAGUUAAUGUGGCAGGUAAAGUCUAGACUGACAAUAAUACAGACAUAGACAGCAAAGUGGACCUUGACGGCUUGGCCACAGCACAGAAUUGCAGACGAACGGCGCGGGAGCAGACUCCAAGUCUCCCCACGGCAGAGGAAAUCGUUGCUAUGAAUUUCAGGUCAGAUCUUGGAGUGAAACUCACACCUCAGACUCUGUUCGGUUGUCCCCAGCCCGGCCCGAUUUGGGGCCCGAUCCACGUGGGUCACCUAGGCCGGGAAACAAUCCCGGCCCAACCAAAAUGUUGCUCUUUUUUUUUUUGGAGAGGACCAUAAUGUUGCUCAGGGGGCCAUGGCAUGUGCAUGUGGUCGGCUGGGCUAGCGAGGAUGUCACCAUGGUCUAGCGAACAUAUAUUUGUCUAGUACGGAGUAUUAAAUAUGUCGGUGUCUUUAUCUACAAACUCAGUAAAAUUUGGCAAAUUUAACUUCGGACAAUCCCAUAUGUACAAAUAUUUAGAAAUGAAGGGAUUACAUUUCCACAAAAUGCAGUUGCAUGGGUAAGGAUAGUUAAAUAGUGCUAGAAGACGAUAGCGUACCAGGAGAGUCAGCAAGGCGAAAGGUAAAGGUUAUCGCCGUAGUUGACGAGUUUCCCCGUAUCGACGAGCUCCCCAGUCCAAACCAAGCAUCUCGACGGGUCGGCCGUAGCGCCGGAGUUGCUCAAGCUGGCAUAAGCAUAUGCCAUACACGAGCAGUUGCUGCUGCACUCGAUCGGUCGCACACUCAUGGAAACUUCUGUUCCAUAAGUGCAAGAACUUGUCAGGGACCUUCAUCCCAGGUAAAGUCACAAAACGACUUUGCUUGUCGCAUUUCAAUUCUUCUCUGGCAUCCUCUCGAAAAGUUAAAAUCAUUGGGCUGGAACCCAUCGAGGCACUGGCACGUCGGGGCAGUUCCAGUGAGGUCGCAGUAGCUGAACAGGCUACAUGAGUCGUACAGGACCGUUGGUGAUGGAGAGCAUGGCAGACGAAGCGGUGAUUGUUGGGUUGUCUCGGUUGGCGACCCACACGACGGUGCGUGGUCCGGGGAUGCUGUUGUACCAUAUGCCGAGGUAGAAGCUCUUGUUGGAGCUGGUUGGGGAGAAGAAGCCGAGAGCAAAAUCCCCGCCUUUGGAGAUGAGUAUGUCACCGUGUGUGAGUGGCUUUGCAUGUGUGAGCUCAUCAUCGGAUUUGCAAAAUGAACUCAGCAAUAGGAGGAAGAAGAUGGGAGUAUAGUGCAUAGCCAUUAGGCCUUCUCCCUCUGCUCGUCUCAAGGGAAAGUAAGUAGCACACAUAUACAGAUAGCCGUGGUGUGUGCGCUGUAUGGUUCUUCAGACUCUGGUUGUGUGUUGGAGAAUUUUC